Molecule: small RNA, 146 nt
Filed under: Helianthus annuus (common sunflower)
Lineage: Eukaryota; Viridiplantae; Streptophyta; Magnoliopsida; Asterales; Asteraceae
Description: hypothetical non coding rna
Rfam family: tRNA (bases 72-145)
About the family: Transfer RNA (tRNA) molecules are approximately 80 nucleotides in length.
Source: RNAcentral
CUGGGCGUCUGGACACAGGCCUGUGUUGUUCCGGGCACGGCCCUGUGUUCAGAUCCAGUGGAGACACAGUAGGGCCUGUAGCUCAGAGGAUUAGAGCACGUGGCUACGAACCACGGUGUCGGGGGUUCGAAUCCCUCCUCGCCCAC